AGAGUUUGAUCCUGGCUCAGAACGAACGUUAGCGGCGCGCUUAACACAUGCAAGUCGAGCGAGAAAGGGCUUCGGCCCCGGUAAAGCGGCGCACGGGUGAGUAACACGUAGGUAAUUUGCCCUCGGGUGGUGGAUAACUUUCCGAAAGGAAGGCUAAUACAGCAUGAGACCACGGUUUCGAAAGAGAUUGAGGUCAAAGCCGGCCAAUUCAUGAAAGCUGGUGCCUGAGGAUGAGCCUGCGGCCCAUCAGCUAGUUGGUAGGGUAAUGGCCUACCAAGGCAAAGACGGGUAGCUGGUCUGAGAGGAUGAUCAGCCACACUGGAACUGAGACACGGUCCAGACUCCUACGGGAGGCAGCAGUGGGGAAUCUUGCGCAAUGGGCGAAAGCCUGACGCAGCGACGCCGCGUGAGUGAUGAAGGCCCUCGGGUUGUAAAGCUCUGUGGAGGGGGACGAAUAAGGGUUGGUUAAUACCCAACUCG
Molecule: ribosomal RNA, 480 nt
Filed under: uncultured bacterium
Lineage: Bacteria
Description: bacterial SSU rRNA
Rfam family: Bacterial small subunit ribosomal RNA
Source: RNAcentral